RNAcentral lists this ribosomal RNA (700 nucleotides) under uncultured bacterium. Its description in RNAcentral is "bacterial SSU rRNA". It matches the Rfam family "Bacterial small subunit ribosomal RNA", at positions 8 to 703 of the family's 1533-position model. The record is from RNAcentral.
AGAGUUUGAUCCUGGCUCAGGAUGAACGCUAGCGGGAGGCUUAAUACAUGCAAGUCGAGGGGUAACAGGGGGCUUCGGCCCUGCUGACGACCGGCGCACGGGUGAGUAACGCGUACGCAAUCUACCUUCAAGAGGGGGAUAGCCCUGGGAAACCGGGAUUAAUACCCCAUAGAAUCAUAAUGCCGCCUGGUAUAAUGAUUAAAGCUUCGGCGCUUGGAGAUGAGCGUGCGUCCCAUUAGCUAGUUGGUAAGGUAACGGCUUACCAAGGCGACGAUGGGUAGGGGGCGUGAGAGCGUGGCCCCCCACACGGGUACUGAGACACGGACCCGACUCCUACGGGAGGCAGCAGUAAGGAAUAUUGGACAAUGGGCGAAAGCCUGAUCCAGCCAUCCCGCGUGCAGGAUGACGGCCCUACGGGUUGUAAACUGCCUUUGCGAGGGAAGAACCGAAGCUAUUUAUGGCUUUUUGACGGUACCUCGAGAAUAAGCACCGGCUAACUCCGUGCCAGCAGCCGCGGUAAUACGGAGGGUGCAAGCGUUAUCCGGAAUCACUGGGUUUAAAGGGUGCGUAGGUGGCAUGAUAAGUCAGAGGUGAAAGGCUGCAGCUUAACUGUGGAAUUGCCUUUGAAACUGUUGUGCUUGAAUCGAGUUGAGGUAAGCGGAAUGUGGCAUGUAGCGGUGAAAUGCAUAGAUAUGCCAUA